CAUUCGCCUCGCCCCAAUAGGGCUGAUAAUUUUGCCAGAUUCUGGUUGACUGGCUGGCUAAAUGGCUGGUUACAUAAGUGUUUGUUUGGUUCUCUGUUUUGUUGACUGGCUGGCUGUUUUAGACUCCUUUGUGAUGAAUUGGGCUUUACGCUAAAUAGCACCGUUAGCAUUUAUGUUGAGUGCCAUCCAUCAUCUCGACUGCCGAUCAGUUACUACUGUUACUACUACAGUAUGUUCCCAUGUUGUCCAGGCUAUUCCUGUCAGGAUACCCUGUGGCAGUACUGGUAGGACUACUGAUUUCCAUAUGUUUUCCAUGGGCCAGGUGGCUCUGGGCGCACAGCGGCAGGAAGUGUUAGCCAGGGAUUAGGCCUAGCGGGUGCUGGCUUAUCAGCUGGCUUCUUCACUCACAGUAUGGCUGACACUAAGCCCUGGAAAUAAGCAGGGGGUUUUAUUAGCAACGUGCCCCAGGAACGGGUGAUCUAUCUGGGAGGAAAAGGGCAGGGGUCCCAGAGGCUCACUGUGUAUAGCAGGUGUCGUGGUCGGUGUUGCUAGGCAACCGUGUUCAGGAAGUGGCGGGGUGUGAGGGGGAGGAAAUGGGACGUUUGGAGUCAACACACAAACACCGAUAAAGCUACCUCUUCACACAUGUACACACACUUAAAGAUACAUUAUGUUUCUAUGUACUCUUUUUCACACACACUUACGAUACAAUGUCCCUCUCGUACACCCACAUGUGCAUGCACGCACACACACAUACACACCAGUGUAAGGCCCCAAUUCUCCCAUAAAGGCUCUAGAUUGAGAGAAUCACCCAUACCACAAACAAUUAACCCGCAAAGCCACAGUCAAUUUGCUUGUUUAAAUAGCCCUAACCAUUACGAGGUGUGUCCAAGCACUGCCAACCCAAAACCAAACAUUGGAUUUGAGCAAGCUGCAGGUUAUACCAGCCAAUAUAUAAAAUAACGCCUUUAAACUGGUGCACGGAGAAACUUUAGCUCUUCUAUAAAUACCUGAACACAUAUAACAUUUAAAACAUGUCUCAUCCAUAAACCUAGAGUUUCUAGACUAGGGACCUUAUAGACACUGUAGGUUUGGGAUAGCGUGUUACAAGGGUGGAGCAAUGGUUUUACUGUGGAGAACUAAGUACUAAUGGUUCAAUGUGGAGAGAGGGAGUGAGUGACAGAGAGAGUGAGAAGUAUGUGUGUGAAAUGUAUAUGUACUUGCAUGUUGGCCACAGCAGUGACAUAGUGUGUCUCUCUCUGGCGCUGUGGUGUGUGUGUGUGUGUGUGUGUGUGUGUGUGUGUGUGUGUGUGUGUGUGUGUGUGUGUGUGUGUGUGUGUGUGUGUGUGUGUGUGUGUGUGUGUGUGUGUGUGUGUGUGUGUGUGUGUGUGUGUGUGUGUGUGUGUGUGUGUUUAAAGCUCAGCAAAAGUGAUGACGCAAUGACAUCACACCAUAACAGAAAUGUCCUAUCAACUUAUAUACUCCCAAAAUAGCCUACAACACGGCCCAUCAGAAAUGCACAGCGAUACAAAUCACAUGUGGCUCUGGGCACAGCAGUGCUAAUUUAAUGGGACUCAAAUGCCGGGCAUUAGAAGAAUGCUGAGAGCAUUCCUGAACCACACCUACUACCAAGAUAACACACGUCUAGCCUGAAGUCAUAUGAUUAACCUAACAGAUGAAUAUAGUACUUCACCUCUAACACUGAAAUAGAAACAGGUCUGGUAUGGAGUACCAGUAAAUAAAUAGUAGGGGUAUGCCAUACUGGUAAAACAUGUGGACAUAUCACAAUAAUUAAAACAAAGAUUCUAAUUUGUCAUUACCGCAUGUCAGUCGCAUGAAAAAUUAACAAAUAGACUUGAGAACUUGUGGAAUACGCUCCAAAAUGUGGUGUGACUGAGACUCGAGUGGACAGCAGUGUAUGCAUACAUUUUGGUGUUUUGUAAGUGAUGUCUCUUUGCAUUUAUCAAAUGGCAUACAAAUGGGAACAGGAGUUGAGAAAUAUGAUUUAUUUCUUUCCGCAUCUUGAGAGAAUAAAAGUUGACAUUCAAGACUAAAUGAAAUACUAUCAGUUGUUUGAUCGUUUUCACAGCUUUUCAUUUCCUUUAAACUGAUGUCAUUUGGAAAUCUCCCAGGUCCCUAAAUGUCCUCAAAUUUAACCAAUCUCAACUAGAUUGUUGAUGAUUCAUUGAUCAUUCUGUCGAUUUAUGACAUUCUAGCGAGCAAGUGCUUAUUUGGAGUUCUAGACGAGCAUUAAGUAAUGACAGAAGAGAAGCUGCACAUAUCUAAUUAUAGACAAGUUGGCUAACAAAUAGCCUUCCAAAUGUCAGAAAUUAUAAGCAGAAGAAUAUGUACAUGAGGCUUAAAAAGUCCCCCCCCCCCCCCUUGAAUAACACUAUUAGCUGCAGUAUCUAAUAAUACAUAACACUAUUAGCUACAGUAUCACAGUAUACAGUAUACAUACAGUAUACAUAACACUAUUAGAACUAACAGUUUUAUAACAACCUAGUUUAGUCCUUAAAGGGACAUUUCACCGCUGCUCUAUUUCACUAUAUAUGUCCAUUAAUAUGUUAAUUUAUCCUAUGUGUCAUAAAAAAUAUUUGAAAAAUCCUCACUACACGCAAAUACGAGCGUUUCUGCAUCUCACCGGUAGAAACGGGCAAGCUACAUUUCGUGGUUGUAAAGCAAACGACAAUAUCCAGAUUUCAUAGUGAUUUCAGGACGUAGGUACCGCUCUGUGGAGGUGUAUCCAGUUGAUGUGAGAAAUAUACAAAUGCCUGUGUUUGUAACCAGCACUUUCAGCCAGAGUGUUUCAAAACGGAACUGAAGUCUCAACUGAUGAUUUUUUUCCAUGUCGUCGACUGUUGAAAAGUGAUGCUAUUCCAUCAAUUUCCUACUUCACUUCGAAGAGGAAGGGAUCCGAUCAGCCAACAUCAACGCUGCAGAAAAAAAAGUAAAGCUGAGAGUCCAAUUCCAACAACAUCUGCAGUGGCAUCAAGCUCAGCACCAGGAACGAAUAGACUAAUCCUGCUGCUGAUAAUUAAUCCUGCCGACCAUGACCAUGACACCAGCUUUAGACCCAUUGGAUGACAACUUUAAGCCUGGAAUAAGCUCAAGGCCAACAUCAUCUGACUUUGAACCAUGCCACGACAGCCAAUGGAGACUUGCAGUACAUAGAAAUCAUCUGCAAGAGGUCGAAGCAGUGGGUGGUGGAGAACAUCACCACAGCGCCAAAGCCUGCUAAACCAGCUGCCAUUACCCAACACAAGAAGACGUUCAGCACACGAAUAUUCUGGAACCUGCCAGGACCAUUCAACCAACGAAUCAUCCAUAUACAGUUUGACUGAUGCUGUAGUAUAAUAUAGAAUGCCUAGUAUGCUGAACUGCAUUGUGGUAUAGUUAUUGCUAGCUGUUGAACAUAUGUACACUGCUCAAAAAAUAAAGAGAAAACUAAAAUAACACAUCCUAGAUCUGAAUGAAAUAUAAUAAUCUUAUUAAAUACUUUUUUCUUUACAUAGUUGAAUGUGCUGACAACAAAAUCACACAUUAUCAAUGGAAAUCAAAUUUAUCAACCCAUGGAGGUCUGGAUUUGGAGUAACACUCAAAAUUAAAGUGGAAAACCACACUACAGGCUGAUCCAACUUUGAUGUAAUGUCCUUAAAACAAGGCAAAAUGAGGCUCAGUAGUGUGUGUGGCCUCCACAUGCCUGUAUGGCUUCCCUACAAUGCCUGGGCAGGCCUGGGGAACAGGCGGGCCAGUCCAUAGCAUCAAUGCCUUCCUCUUGCAGGAACUGCUGACACGCUCCAGUAACAUGAGGUCUAGCAUUGUCUUGCAUUAGGAGGAACCCAGGGCCAACCGCACCAGCAUAUGGUCUCACAAGGGGUCUGAGGAUCUCAUCUCAGUACCUAAUGGCAGUCAGGCUACCUCUGGCGAGCACAUGGAAGGCUGUGAGGCCCCCCAAAGAAAUGCCACCCCACACCAUGACUGACCCACCACCAAACCAGUCAUGCUGGAGGAUGUUGCAGGCAGCAGAAUGUUCUCCACGGCGUCUCCAGACUGUCACGUCUGUCAUGUGCUCAGUGUGAACCUGCUUUCAUCUGUGAAGAGCACAGGGCGCCAGUGGCGAAUUUGCCAAUCUUGGUGUUCUCUGGCAAAUGCCAAACGUCCUGCACAGUGUUGGGCUGUAAGCACAACCCCCUCCUGUGGACGUUGGGCCCUCAUACCACCCUCAUGGAGACUGUUUCUGACCGUUUGAGCAGACACAUGCACAUUUGUGGCCUGCUGGAGGUCAUUUUGCAGGGCUCUGGCAGUGCUCCUCCUUGCACAAAGGCGGAGGUAGCGGUCCUGCUGCUGGGUUGUUGCCCUCCUACGGCCUCCUCCACAUCUCCUGAUGUACUGGCCUGUCUCCUGGUAGCACCUCCAUGCUCUGGACACUACGCUGACAGACACAGCAAACCUUCUUGCCACAGCUCGCAUUGAUGUGCCAUCCUGGAUGAGCUGCACGACCUGAGCCACUUGUGUGGGUUGUAGACUCCGUCUCAUGCUACCACUAGAGUGAAAGCACCGCCAGCAUUCAAAAGUGACCAAAACAUCAGCCAUGAAGCAUAGGAACUGAGAAGUGGUCUGGUCACCACCUGCAGAACCACUCCUUUAUUUAUGGUGUCUUGCUAAUUGCCUAUAAUUUCCACCUGUUGUCUAUUCAAUUUGCAUAACAGCAUGUGAAAUUUAUUGUCAAUCAGUGUUGCUUCCUAAGUGGACAGUUUGAUUUCACAGAAGUUUGAUUGACUUGGAGUUACAUUGUGUUGUUUAAGUGUUCCCUUUAUUUUUUGAGCAUUGUAUAUAAUGGUGUUUUAUACAUUUUUUAAUAUAUAUUUUUUAUACAAGUGUACUGACAAGUGACUAAAUGAUUCCAGCUGCAUCAGAAACCAAUAGUGCUGACUUUUUAAAUUAAUUGUGAUAUUCAUGAAAUGUACUUGGGUAAACUAGCUUCAAUCUUACUGCUAAAAGAAAUGAUGAAGGUCAUUGGUGUAUCAUUUAAACUUUAAUUUGAUGGCAAGUAAACAUGUUAAAAUAAAACCGAUUUGUCUUCAAGACCAAGUUUAUUUGCUCUGGAGACCGGGGUGAGUUUACAUGCAGGAAGUUAUGGCAAUGUAUGACAUACUGUAUAUACAGUAGAAAAAUAUAUACUAAUGUUUAUAAUAAAUACUAGUUCUACAAUCGGAA
Long non-coding RNA from Oncorhynchus masou masou (cherry salmon), 5220 nucleotides. RefSeq lists it as uncharacterized. The record is from RefSeq and is a predicted model, not a curated record. The transcript is spliced from 4 exons. NCBI's taxonomy places the organism in Eukaryota, Metazoa, Chordata, Actinopteri, Salmoniformes, Salmonidae.